AUCCAGCUGACCAGUACCAAAUAGAAUGAAACGCGCUUCAAACUGGAU
Non-coding RNA from Schistosoma margrebowiei, 48 nucleotides. NCBI's taxonomy places the organism in Eukaryota, Metazoa, Platyhelminthes, Trematoda, Strigeidida, Schistosomatidae. The record is from Rfam.